Molecule: signal recognition particle RNA, 99 nt
Filed under: Novispirillum itersonii
Lineage: Bacteria; Pseudomonadati; Pseudomonadota; Alphaproteobacteria; Rhodospirillales; Novispirillaceae
Description: small signal recognition particle RNA
Rfam family: Bacterial small signal recognition particle RNA
About the family: The signal recognition particle (SRP) is a universally conserved ribonucleoprotein involved in the co-translational targeting of proteins to membranes.
Source: RNAcentral
GGAAGGCUGGCGAUGGACGAGCUCCUCGCCAAUCGGGUCAGGUCCGGAAGGAAGCAGCCCUAACGAGUUCAGGCUCGGGUCAUUGUCCAGUCUUCCACC